This 460-nucleotide ribosomal RNA is filed under the name uncultured bacterium. RNAcentral's name for it is "partial 16S ribosomal RNA". It matches the Rfam family "Bacterial small subunit ribosomal RNA", at positions 338 to 795 of the family's 1533-position model. The record is from RNAcentral.
CCUACGGGUGGCAGCAGUGAGGAAUAUUGGUCAAUGGACGAGAGUCUGAACCAGCCAAGUAGCGUGAAGGAUGACUGCCCUAUGGGUUGUAAACUUCUUUUAUAAAGGAAUAAAACGAGGCACGUGUGCUUUUUUGCAUGUACUUUAUGAAUAAGGAUCGGCUAACUCCGUGCCAGCAGCCGCGGUAAUACGGAGGAUCCGAGCGUUAUCCGGAUUUAUUGGGUUUAAAGGGAGCGUAGAUGGGUUGUUAAGUCAGUUGUGAAAGUUUGCGGCUCAACCGUAAAAUUGCAAUUGAUACUGGCAGUCUAGAGUACAGAUGAGGUAGGCGGAAUGCGUGGUGUAGCGGUGAAAUGCUUAGAUAUCACGAAGAACCCCGAUUGCGAAGGCAGCUUACUAAACUGUGACUGACAUUGAUGCUCGAAAGUGUGGGUAUCAAACAGGAUUAGAUACCCGAGUAGUC